Molecule: unclassified non-coding RNA, 3255 nt
Filed under: Daphnia magna
Lineage: Eukaryota; Metazoa; Arthropoda; Branchiopoda; Diplostraca; Daphniidae
Description: mutS protein homolog 4, transcript variant X1
Source: RNAcentral
AUCUUUUUAAAUUGGCCAUCGUGGGCUGUGCCGAGGUCCUGACGCAUCUUGACGGCCACGUGUUCUGGAAGAACAGACAGCAGCAAUUGCUCCUUUUGUUUCGUCGAGAUUCAGGCAAAGAAACUUUACAGGUUGGUAACGAACCGCCAUUCACAACGAACGAACCGCUUGACCGUUUUUUAAAAGGAAUUGAAAAUCUGAGGCUUUUCUCAUCGACGUAUUCCACCAGUAAAAGAAGACUCUUCUAGUCGCCACUCCCUCGCACAGCACGGUUGGCUUGAAAACCAGCAGGCCCAUUUUCUGAGGGUGAAAGAUGUCAUCGCAACGGACGGUGAGACAUCAGCCAAGUGGAGCAGACGGCGAAAGUGAAUUGUCGGCGAGUUCCUUGACAGGAGCGGCGAAUUUCCCAGUGUCGGCCACUCCUUUCUCCUUGGCCGGCACGAGGCGGACGAAUAACGAGUCAUCUUUUUCCGAUAAUAUCCGUCGUCCGUCUUCAUCCAUCCAUCACGAAGGACCGUCGGCAGCCUCGCAAUGGACGGAGAAUGAUAUGGGUAGUGGACCAACGUCCGCCAAGACUACCAACAGCGUCUUCAACUUGCGUUUCACUUCGGGCAGCACGAUGACUAGCGACAGUCACUACCAUCAAGUAUUUGCCCAGCCUAGUGGACGGGCACCCCGGAGUUCGGCAACUCCCAGUUUAUUCGCCGCUCUGACAACCCCCGGUCCCAGCAGAGCAGCCGCUCCUCUUCGUUCGCCUCUUCCGGACGUCCAGCCUCAGCUGUUUGGCAACGCUGGUAGUCAACCAUCGGCUCAUAGUUUACCACCACCGUCGACACCUCUAACUCCUGGAAUUCGCGGGGGUCCACCAGCCAUUACGCCUCGAUUAACAGCAGGACGGACGACUGUUGCAACACCUUCCGUCGCCACACCUAGGACCGGCCGUCCUCGUCGUGAUGACAACGUGAUCGUUGGUUUGGUGCACGGACGAGGAUUCGCCCGCAACGAAGUCGGAAUGGCAGCGAUCAACUUGACGGCGUGUGAACUUCACUUGUGUCAGAUGACCGAUUCUCACGGCUUCGUCAAAACUUUGACGAAAAUGAAUUUAUUCCGUCCUACUGAGGUGUUGAUGCCCGACACGGCCCUAGUGCCCGGUUCGCCCUCGCCCCUUGCGCAAGCCAUUAGCCGUUUCGAUUCUGACAUCGUCAUGACUGCCGUUAAUCGUGGAGCAUUUAACGAUACGGAAGGCAUCCAUUGCGUCCAAAAAUUGGCCGUCGUCGAUCACUUGAACAUUCUCGUUUUGAUUGAACAAAAGUAUUACGCCCUCGCUUCUGCCUCGGCUUUAAUGGCUCACCUGGAAAACAAUUUGAAUAUUACGUUUGCUCCUGGGACGUUACGAGUCUACUACAGCGGCACGGAUAAGACUGCCAUCAUUGAUUCGGAAACAGCCAACCGACUGGAAGUGGUGAGCAGCUUGAACCCAACCGGGGGUCCGUCUCUACUUUCGGCCCUGAAUUCGUGCCAAACAGCGGCCGGUAAGCGGCUCCUCCGUUCAAAUUUACUGGAACCCAUGACGGACCGGGAGGCCAUCCGUCAGCGUCUGGAUGCCGUCGAGGAGCUUGCGUCACGUCCCACCGACCUCCACCAGCCCAUCAAGGAGAUCCUGUCGCGGUUUGUCGAUGUCGAGCGUGCCGUUAACCAGUGCGUCGUUGUACCGAAAAAUCCUAGCCCGUCGUUCGUCGAGCAACGAAUCAACGCUGUUGUUGCCCUCAGGCACAUUCUAUCACUAGUGGCUCCGCUUCAAGCUGCCCUAGCGAAAGCCAACAGCCCAUUGAUUGUCUCUUUGGCUAAAGAAUUGGCCACCGUCAAUGACGAGACGCUGCUAUCGCGCAUUCAGGACGUGCUGGACGAACGGGUGAAGCCUGUCAAAGGCAAAAUAGGGAUGCAACGUCAGCGUUUCCGCGCUGUCAAAAUGGGCGUCGAUCUCAUGCUGGACGUUUGUCGCCGGACGCAUAACGACCUCGAAACAGAAAUGGAAGAAUACGUCGAGGACCUGUCACAGAAAUAUCAAAUGCCUUUGACGUUGGCCAAUACGGCAGUGCGCGGCUAUCACUUGCAACAGACGUUGGGUCAAGCGAGAAAGAAAGGCGACACCAACUAUCAACCUCCACCGCCACCUCCAGAAUUGCCGCCCGUCUUUGUCUGUGUAAAGAAGCAAGGUAACUGCAUGGCUUUCACGACCCAACACCUCCUCGUGUCCAACGAACGAAUUAAAUCUGUCGAGAAGGACAUUGAGAAGAUCACCAACGUAGUUAUUGAAGAUCUAUUGGCCAAGACGCGCAGUGACAUCGGAUCGCUGUAUAAAUUGCGAGAAAUCAUUUGCCAACUGGACGUGAUCGUGUCGUUUGCCCAGGUCAGCUCUGCCGGGGGUUUCUGUCGGCCCGCAUUCGCCAACGAGCUCGUCAUCCGUUCCGGUCGCCAUCCGAUCCUAGAUCAGUUUUCACCGAGCGCUUUGGUCUCCAACGACACGGAAAUGACGGUGGAAUCGAAUUUCCAUGUCAUCACCGGAGCUAAUAUGAGCGGCAAAAGCACCUACAUCCGUCAAGUGAUGCUACUGCAAAUAAUGGCCCAGAUUGGAUGUUUUGUUCCGGCUAGCAGCGCUUCAUUCCGGAUUGUUGAUCAAAUGUUCUCUCGGCUCGGCACUCACGAUCGCUUGGAAAACAACGCCUCCUCUUUCUCUCUCGAGAUGACGGAGAUGAACUAUAUUGUUCGCAAUGCCGGCCCAAAGUCUUUGGUUAUCAUCGACGAGCUGUGCAACGAAACGGCUGCUGAUCAAGGCAGUGCCAUCUGUUGGAGCAUUUGCGAAGCACUCAUAAUGACGCAAGCCUGGAUUAUGAUUGCCACUCACACGCCACUUGUCACCAAAUUGCAGGAUCUCUACUUUAACGUUUCAAAUUAUAUUUUAUUCAAUUUUCAUGUCGGUGAUUCAUUGUUGGAUCAAUCGCGUGUUCGAAUGCAGUUACCACAUGGAAGUCCUUGAAGAAGAGCGUGAAGACGGACGAUCUAAGCUAGAUUACACUCAUGCGAUCAGGCCGGGCGUCACGCAGUUGGAGAAUUACGCCCCUACCGAAGACAACUUUUGACUUCAAAAUGAACAGACUCAACUAUGCGUUGCACGGCAAGCUGCUGGAUAUCGGUCGCAGGAUGGAUGCCCUACCUGAUCAGACUUUUCUGAUGGAGAUGCAACGCGUUCGUGAC